Molecule: long non-coding RNA, 2996 nt
Organism: Lutra lutra (Eurasian river otter)
Lineage: Eukaryota; Metazoa; Chordata; Mammalia; Carnivora; Mustelidae
Exons: 3
Source: RefSeq, a predicted model, not a curated record
AGGCAGUGGUGAAGAGACAACGGGAUGUCACAUCACUAGUGGGAUGUCACAUGACUAGCACAUGAUGGGGAGGUAGGACGUAACAUAGAUGGGGAAGCAGAGGGUCUCUCAGAGAUAGGAGUGGUGAAUAGGCCGAGGAUGGGCCCAGAAGGUUCAGUCUAUAUCCAGCAGAGGGAGAGCAAGACAGUGAAGACUGAGGCAGCCACAAAGAGUGGGUCCAUGGGAUGUGAGUCAUGUCAGGGAAAUCGGUGGGAAAACAAGGAACAGGCAGGAGGGAAGAGGGGAUGAUCUCUUGACACACCAGAGGGUCAGGGGCACCGUGGAAAAGGGGAAGGUGGUACGAAGAACUUCUAAUCUGGGGACAUCAGCAGAUCUCGGGGGGGGCCACAAAGAUUGUCGUGUGUGGUACUGAGGCUGGACAGUAGCAGGAGAGCAGAGGGAAGAUGCUACCACCUGGGUAUAUGGAUCCGGGGCUCUCAGGAGCAAGGGGGAACAGGGGACACAGGGAUAGAGGUGACUGAGGAGUGUGGCAGCCCCACGCAUCAGAACAGAUACUGAAUAGAGACUGCUGAUGGGAGAACUCAGGGAGUUCACGGUGGCCUCAGGGAAUGGAGUCCAGUAUGUAGGUCACACAUAUGCAGGUCACACAUAUGCUUUGAAAUGGGGGAGGAGCUAACACGAAGCAAUGCGGAAGUGACCUUUCUCAACAGUCACCAAAUCCCUGCUUCUGCAGUUCCAGAGUUGAAGGGUGGAAUUCAAACACGUGGCUAGAGACUCCGACAGGGACUUUCAGCUGGGCAGGGGGACACCUUCAAAAAUCUAAGAAUGCCACAGGUUUGGUCCAGGAACUUGAUGGCAGCAGCAGAGGGGCCCAGGGGGAGAGCAAGGGGCAGGGUAGGGAGUAAGGUCUGGGGAACACUUAUUUUAGAGGCUUCAUUGGGUGGACAACUGAGGUGGCAAGGCUUCCCGGGAUGAAGAGAGACAGGAUGGGCUCAAAAUCACGUGGCCGAGCAGGAAGGAGGGCAAACAGGCAUCUGGACAGUGUCAGUGGGGUGUGCAGGCUGGGGGUGCCUCAGGGGACCCAGGAAGCAAGGGAGGUGGGGGAAGGAGGACGAGCUGGAAGUCCAGGUCUGGCGUAAAGUCCUGUGUGCAAAGGCUUGACUGAGAGGGAAGAGAGAGGAAGGAGGCAGGUGAGGUGGGGUGAGGCCAGGGGAAGGGGAGCCUCACACAGGGAGGCGGGUCAGAGCCAGUGGAAGGACCAGAAGAGCGACAGCAGAUGGUUUCAGAGAGGACAAUGGCCUGUUGAGGGGAUGGAAAGAGUGUGAGCUGAGAGCAAGUCCCGGGAAAGGAGUUCCUCUGAUGGUGAGGGGACAACCCAAUGGGACUCCAUGACAGGCUCUGGGGAGCUUUGAGGUGCACGGGUCCUAGGGAAGAGGCAGGGCGCUUUCCCUGGGCUGAGGAGGAAAAGGGAAGAAACACAGCCUGCGAGAAAAGAUCUUGAGAAAGACUGUCCAAAGGGGUCUUGAUGGAGUGUGACAGGAGGGUCACGUCUCAGAGACAGGCAAGGUGAAGGGAGGCACCCAGGGGACGAAGGAGAGGGGAGACAGGCUGAACACCAACAGGGAGAGCAGAGAAGAGGGAGGUGGCGGAGAACGCAUCCGGACCCGUCUCCGAGGUGCCCCGCAAGGGGAAGCUCAGAGAGGUGGGCCAGGCGAGGGCGGCCUGAGCGGUGGCAGGGGAAGGAGGGAAGAAGAAGAGGUGGUGGCAGGAGCUGCUCUCAUGGCCUUGAAUAUGGUGGCGAGGGUAGAACUUUUCGGCCAGGCUCUUUACUACGGAUCCGGAGGGGACGGGGUGGGAGGUGGGGCUGGGGUGAGUGACAGGACUUGGCUUUGAUGGGCGGGACGUGAGGGCAGGGUAGGAGCAAUGGAGAGGGGUGUGGGGAGACAUGGCCCAAACUCCAGGCACAGAGAUAAGCCCGUUCUCAAACUGAGCUUGUGGACUGAUUCACACCCAGUGUUGAGGGCGACGGGCACAGACUGAAGAAACAUUGGGGAAGACAGGGGAGUCCACAUGGAGAGGACAGGAGAGCAGCUGCCGGAAAGGCAGCGGGAGAGGUGCGCUUGGCAGGAGUCACAGAGGGACAUGAGGGGCAAGGCUCUGCAGGGGAACGGUGUCCUGACUUAUACCAAGAGAAAUAAACUAGAGAAAGUGACGGCCACCAAGGGUGUCAGGGCAAGGGUCAGGAAGAGAACAGUGCUCUAGCGCACACUGGGGUUUGGGUUAGGUCACAUGUCAGAGAGUAAAUGGUUGGGGGGGAACGCAGGGAAUCCAAGGGCAGAGAGCCGGCCCGUGUCAGCUGCUGGGGCAGUGCUGGGCCUGAAGGACAAGUGUUCCCGGCCACUGAUGGAAGCAGGAAGCUAGAGGUGCGCGAGGGCGGGGCGCAGCCCGGGGAGUCGGGGCUGCCUUUCACUGCAGUGAUUCUCCCCGAGGAUGGGGGGGUGGUUUUCACCCGAGGGGGGCUGUGGGCACGGCCCCCAGGGCAGGCCUAUCAGUACAUCUGAGGGGGAGCAGUGCUCUGCUCAGUGCAAAAGCAAACCCAAAAACACACAAAAGCAAACCCAAAAACACGCCCAGACGGUGACGCUGAUAGGUGGUCUUGGGGGUCGUGGGUCCUCGGGUGAGAAUCACUGGGUGGAAGGGGCCGAGUGGAAGGCGGGUAGAGAGGGGACACUUGAGCAGGUGAGUCCCCGGGCCAGGGCAGGUGACACGGGAGGCCACAGAAUCAGGGCCGUGAGACGUGGGGGAGAAGGAGCCCGGCCCAGGCAGACAGCGAGCAAAUGGAUGUAGCCGAGAAGGCCUCUGGUUCGAUGUGGGGAUGGGGGUGGUGGGGUGGUGGAGGGUUGAAGGCUGGGGUUUACUGUCCGUGGUCGGGGGUGCAGACCAGCUGAGGACACUGGAAGAGGAAGGCGGAGGGAGAUGGCAGUGGCUGGAGCGGG